Limulus polyphemus (Atlantic horseshoe crab) is the source of this 104-nucleotide long non-coding RNA. RefSeq lists it as uncharacterized. The record is from RefSeq and is a predicted model, not a curated record. The transcript has 3 exons. Lineage: Eukaryota; Metazoa; Arthropoda; Merostomata; Xiphosura; Limulidae.
GGUUUGUUUGUUUUUCCUUAAGCACAAAGCAACACAAUGAACCAUCUGUACUUUGCCCAUGACGGGUAUCAAAACCCGGUUUCUAGCGUUGUAAGUCCGCAAAC